GCUCUGAAUCUGCACUUUUAUCUGGGAAUCAGAGACUUUCAGCCUCUGAAAUAUGGACGAGUGAACCAGGAUGUGUUCAGCUGCUGCUCACUGUGAGUCCGUCAGGCCGUGAUCUCAUGACGAGUUGCUGGAGGUGGACAGGAAGAGGAACACGCCAUCAGACGUCCUGCGAGGCGGAGCUGUCAGGUAACGUCAUACAUCAGACAUAACGUCCUUCAGCCUGAUCAAUACAGAGAAAGAGAGGUGGACUGACAGUGAAACCGGGCUGUGGGCGAGCGAGCAGGAUGGCAGUCAUGUGACCUGAGGAGGAAGAUGAAGAGCGAGAUUCCAGAUCACAUCCCGUCCUGCUGUCCGCUCACCUGCGUAACCACCGACAACGCUUCCACCUCACCUCACCUCGUCUCCGGCGAGCGCAGCAGAGUCCGACUGAACAUCAGCUCGAUGUUUCCUCACUGAGACACCAGAGGAAGUCACGGUCAGAGAGCGCUCUGCACUUCCUCUUGUGUCAGAUAACAUCAGUUACACACUCUUACUACACAGCUUCAGACCUCACACACACACACACGGACACACACGGACACACACACACACACACACGCACACACACACACACACACACACACACACACACACACAUCACACAACAUUUUAAAGAUGCAUGAAGUGAUUUUUGGGCACCAUGAGACAAACCGUCAGCGCCGACUCCUCUGACUUCCUGUGAUUGAACUACAGACUCUGUGUCACUGGAGAUGGACCUGAACUGGGUGAAAUCUCUGGUUCUGCAUCAGGUGGACUAACACCAGAGAGAGUGGAGGCUGUUGGAUCAGAACAUUGUUCUCCUGCAGCUGCUUCCCCAAACAAGACAAACAUGAAGCAGAUCAGCUGACGCCUCAGUUAAAGUGUUUCGUCGCCACACGUCGAUAGAACGCUCAGGUUCUCCUGAUCCAUCCAUGUAAACCAUUUAAAGAUUAAACCACAUCAGCAAGGAACAAUCAACAAACAAACAAGCUAACUAGCAUGUUCAAGGUUCUGCCGACGAUGGCAGAACAGACAUCCCGCCGUUUGAUUGACAGCUCAUUUGAGCAGAUAUGAUCUUAUCUGCCCGCCCUAGAGCCUGCAACAACCAAUGGGUGAUGGUGUAGACAAGGCACCCACUCUCUCUUCUUUCCCCUCCAUCCUGAGCCAAUUACACGCCAGUCCCCGGUUGAUUGACACAUCACGUAACCAAUGAGAUUCCAGAUCCAGUAAUAUGUAGUUUAUACCCGUUUUUAAAGCCCUAAAACUGGAAAUUAUGUAGGUUUAUGUGUUUUAUUCUUUGGUUAUUUAUUUAUUGUACAUAAGCACAUAAAGAACAAUAGUGAGUUUUUGCCUGCAGGAGCAUUUUUGGGUCACAGAAAUAAAGAAAAUACUGCAGUAGAGUGCA
Long non-coding RNA from Acanthopagrus latus (yellowfin seabream), 1423 nucleotides. RefSeq lists it as uncharacterized. The record is from RefSeq and is a predicted model, not a curated record. The transcript is spliced from 3 exons. Lineage: Eukaryota; Metazoa; Chordata; Actinopteri; Spariformes; Sparidae.